AGACGAACCGUACAAACGUUAUUCGGAUUCACUGGGCUUAAAGGGUGCGUAGGCGGCCUGAUAAGUUGGGUGUGAAAUCCCUCGGCUCAACCGAGGAAUUGCGCUCAAUACUGUCAGGCUUGAGGGAGACAGAGGUGAGCGGAACUUAGGGUGGAGCGGUGAAAUGCGUUGAUAUCCUAAGGAACACCGGUGGCGAAGGCGGCUCACUGGGUCUCUUCUGACGCUGAGGCACGAAAGCUAGGGUAGCGAACGGGAUUAGAAACCCGAGUAGUCC
RNAcentral lists this ribosomal RNA (274 nucleotides) under uncultured bacterium. Its description in RNAcentral is "partial 16S ribosomal RNA". It matches the Rfam family "Bacterial small subunit ribosomal RNA", at positions 523 to 796 of the family's 1533-position model. The record is from RNAcentral.